RNAcentral lists this ribosomal RNA (469 nucleotides) under uncultured bacterium. RNAcentral's name for it is "partial 16S ribosomal RNA". It matches the Rfam family "Bacterial small subunit ribosomal RNA", at positions 28 to 508 of the family's 1533-position model. The record is from RNAcentral.
GACGAACGCUGGCGGCGUGCUUAACACAUGCAAGUCGAACGGAAAGGCCCUGCUUUUGUGGGGUGCUCGAGUGGCGAACGGGUGAGUAACACGUGAGUAACCUGCCCUUGACUUUGGGAUAACUUCAGGAAACUGGGGCUAAUACCGGAUAGGAGCUCCUGCUGCAUGGUGGGGGUUGGAAAGUUUCGGCGGUUGGGGAUGGACUCGCGGCUUAUCAGCUUGUUGGUGGGGUAGUGGCUUACCAAGGCUUUGACGGGUAGCCGGCCUGAGAGGGUGACCGGCCACAUUGGGACUGAGAUACGGCCCAGACUCCUACGGGAGGCAGCAGUGGGGAAUAUUGCACAAUGGGCGGAAGCCUGAUGCAGCAACGCCGCGUGCGGGAUGACGGCCUUCAGGUUGUAAACCGCUUUCGCCUGUGACGAAGCGUGAGUGACGGUAAUGGGUAAAGAAGCACCGGCUAACUACGUGC